This 205-nucleotide ribosomal RNA is filed under the name uncultured bacterium. RNAcentral's name for it is "partial 16S ribosomal RNA". It matches the Rfam family "Bacterial small subunit ribosomal RNA", at positions 1288 to 1500 of the family's 1533-position model. The record is from RNAcentral.
UCAGUUCGGAUCGGAGUCUGCAACCCGACUCCGUGAAGCUGGAUUCGCUAGUAAUCGCGCAUCAGCCAUGGCGCGGUGAAUACGUUCCCGGGCCUUGUACACACCGCCCGUCAAGCCAUGGGAGCCGGGGGUGCUUGAAGUGCGUCGCCGCAAGGCGCGCCCUAGAGCAAAACCGGUGACUGGGGCUAAGUCGUAACAAGGUAAC